RNAcentral lists this ribosomal RNA (253 nucleotides) under uncultured bacterium. RNAcentral describes it as "partial 16S ribosomal RNA". It matches the Rfam family "Bacterial small subunit ribosomal RNA", at positions 524 to 776 of the family's 1533-position model. The record is from RNAcentral.
UACGUAGGGUGCAGGCGUUAAUCGGAAUUACUGGGCGUAAAGCGUGCGCAGGCGGUGAUGUAAGACAGAUGUGAAAUCCCAGGGCUCAAUCUUGGAACUGCAUUUGUGACUGCAUCGCUGGAGUGCGGCAGAGGGGGAUGGAAUUCCGCGUGUAGCAGUGAAAUGCGUAGAUAUGCGGAGGAACACCGAUGGCGAAGGCAAUCCCCUGGGCCUGCACUGACGCUCAUGCACGAAAGCGUGGGGAGCAAACAGG